GACGAACGCUGGCGGCGUGCUUAACACAUGCAAGUCGAACGGAAAGGCCCUGCUUUUGUGGGGUGCUCGAGUGGCGAACGGGUGAGUAACACGUGAGUAACCUGCCCUUGACUUUUGGAUAACUUCAGGAAACUGGGGCUAAUACCGGAUAGGAGCUCCUGCUGCAUGGUGGGGGUUGGAAAGUUUCGGCGGUUGGGGAUGGACUCGCGGCUUAUCCGCUUGUUGGUGGGGUAGUGGCUUACCAAGGCUUUGACGGGUAGCCGGCAUGAGAGGGUGACCGGCCACAUUGGGACUGAGAGACGGACCAGACGCCUACGGGAGGCAGAAGUGGGGAAUAUUGCACAAUGGGCGGAAGCCUGAUGCAGCAACGCCGCGUGCGGGAUGACGGCCUUCGGGUUGUAAACCGCUUUCGCAUGUGACGAAGCGUGAGUGACGGUAAUGGGUAAAGAAGCACCGGCUAACUACGUG
This 468-nucleotide ribosomal RNA is filed under the name uncultured bacterium. RNAcentral's name for it is "partial 16S ribosomal RNA". It matches the Rfam family "Bacterial small subunit ribosomal RNA", at positions 28 to 507 of the family's 1533-position model. The record is from RNAcentral.